This 434-nucleotide ribosomal RNA is filed under the name uncultured bacterium. Its description in RNAcentral is "partial 16S ribosomal RNA". It matches the Rfam family "Bacterial small subunit ribosomal RNA", at positions 29 to 505 of the family's 1533-position model. The record is from RNAcentral.
AACGAACGCUGGCGGCAUGCCUAACACAUGCAAGUCGAACGAUGGUCUUCGGAUCAUAGUGGCGCACGGGUGCGUAACGCGUGGGAAUCUGCCCUUGGGUUCGGAAUAACAGUUGGAAACGACUGCUAAUACCGGAUGAUGUCGAUAAGACCAAAGAUUUAUCGCCCGAGGAUGAGCCCGCGUCGGAUUAGCUAGUUGGUGGGGUAAAGGCCUACCAAGGCGACGAUCCGUAGCUGGUCUGAGAGGAUGAUCAGCCACACUGGGACUGAGACACGGCCCAGACUCCUACGGGAGGCAGCAGUGGGGAAUAUUGGACAAUGGGCGCAAGCCUGAUCCAGCAAUGCCGCGUGAGUGAUGAAGGCCUUAGGGUUGUAAAGCUCUUUUACCCGGGAAGAUAAUGACUGUACCGGGAGAAUAAGCCCCGGCUAACUCCG